RNAcentral lists this unclassified non-coding RNA (2748 nucleotides) under Hevea brasiliensis (rubber tree). The record is from RNAcentral. Lineage: Eukaryota; Viridiplantae; Streptophyta; Magnoliopsida; Malpighiales; Euphorbiaceae.
CCUACAGGCAGUACAAAAUUCGUGUAUUAAACAAGCACUUCUUCACACUGAAUUUUGUGUGCUAAGAGGUAACUUGAUUUACAUACAAUCAUCAUAUCAUGAUUUCACGAGUCUUGUUUUAUAUACAAAUUGAUUAAUACUCUGCAAACAAUAUCGUUCCACACACUAGCUUGUACCCUUGUACAUUCUAUCAAUGGCACUCACCUUACCUAGGUUAUUCCCAUCACAAAAGCAAUUACAGAUCAAAUGGCUGCAGGUCUCCCAUCCUUUCUAGGAUCACUUACCGCAGUAAGUGUCCCAUGGAAUAUUUUAGAACCUUUUCCAUUCUUCCGCCCCAUGGCAAUGGGGUUUUGGAGGGUUUGAACAACAAGCUGGACUAUAGCUCCCAGUGCCUUAGCCUCCAAUUGGUGUCCCUUCUCUUCCAAGAAGAGCUUUGUUUCCUCAGCAACCUCUAUGUGAUCACCAUCGAUCACGGUGAAGUUCUCAUACUGCACAAUGUUAGGUAUUAACUUGUGGUAGACCCUUGGACUCUGAACUGCAGUUAAAGGUUCCAUUCCCAAGACAAAAUGGUUAAUAAAAACUUGUGUUACUGCUGGAAUGAUGUCCAUUCCUCCACUGCCUCCCAAGACUCCUACCAGCUGAUCAUCCUUAGUAACAAUAAUGGGGGUCAUGGAAGAUAGGGGUCUCUUGUUGGAUUCAAUAAAAUUUGCAGGAGCAGGAGGAAGCAUGUCAAACCUUAUCUCUGUGGGUGCUGAGAAGUCACCCAUCUCAUCAUUUAGCACAAUACCAGUAGAAGGAGAGAGAACUCCUGCUCCGAAAUUAUAAUUUACAGUGGUUGUCAUAGAUACUGCAUUUCUCUCGGCAUCAACAAUGCAGAAAUGGCUAGUUCCAUGAUCUCUAAGCUGACUCCACCUGUUCAUAUAAUAUUCUGGAAGAAAAGUAGUAUUAUCUAAUAUCAUUUUCCGAAUUUGCUCAGCAUAGGAUGGAGAAAGCAUUUCAGAGACGUAUUUGUGAAUGUCUACAAACUUAGGGUCUCCCAAAUUCAUUCGGACAGCAAACAUGUGUUUUAAUGCUUCAAUCAAGCGAUGUACCCCAAGAUUCCCCUUUGCAGCAACUGAAGUUCCAUAGCUAUCAAAGAUGUUCAAGACCAUAGACAAUCCAACUGUUCCACUUGAAGGAGGUGGCAUUCCAUACACAGUGUAGCCCAUCACAUUUGCAGCCAUUGCAUCCAUUAUAUCUACCUUGUAAUUUUUUAAAUCCUCCAUUGUUAAUAUCCCACCAGCUUUUCUUACAUCCUUCACCAACUGCUCACCAACAGUGCCAUUGUAAAAGGUUUGUGGCCCCUGUUCUGCUACUGCCUCCAGGCUCCUGGCUAGCUUCACAUUGUAGCAUCUAUCACCAGCUUGUAACAACUUCCCAUUUGGUGCAAACACUUGCUUCAACCCAGAGUCAUUCAAAAUUUUUCCUGCAUUGUGAACUAUUGCUAAUCCGAGAUAAGGUGCAACAAUAAAACCAUCUUUCGCAAGUUUUAUGGCAGGUUGGAAUAAAUUCCUCCAAGCCAAACGUCCAUGCUGUAACCAAGCUUCAUGAAGACCAGCAAUCUCACCAGGAACUCCAAUUGACAAUGGACCUGAAUACUUGUCUUGAAUGUUGUUUGCAUACAUAUUCUGGUUGUGGACAAUUACAUUAAAAUAGCCAUGAGAUAAAGCAAAAUUGUCGAACUUUCUACAUUUGAUAUAAUCAGUCCCCUUAGCAUAGCACCCCAACCCAAGAAAUAUCAGAAUUUGUAUAUGUCAGCUGAAAGAGAGAACUAUGAACCUUUGAAGCAGCUAAGGGAGCAGUUUCCCUCAUGUCAAAAGCUUGAGUUUUCAAAGCCAGUGAAGACCUAACAAUCAUGAAAGCUCCACCUCCUAUUCCACUGGACAUUGGAUUAACAACUCCAACACAUAAUGCUGUUGCCACUGCAGCAUCAACAGCGUGCCCUCCUUGUCUAAGCAUUGAUGCUCCGAUGUCAGAACAUCGGCCAUCAUCAGCAGCCACAACUCCUUGAUCCGACUCCACAAUUUCACCAUCAUUAACUCUAAUCCUCUCAUUGAAAUUUUUUCCUUCUCGUAAUACCCAGGUAGUUAAAUUGCCUCCAAAUAUUAGGCCUACAGCUAAAGUUGGAACAGUAAUCUUAGCAUUAAAAUGAAUCCUCUCGCAUGACCAUAAGAAAAUCAUAUUCUACCAGUCUAAUAAAAAUGGGUUGAAUGAUUGUGAAGCAUUAUGAUACAACACUAGGUAUGAUCACCAACCUUUUAGCUUAGGAGAGAUCUACAUAGCAUACUGAACAAUAAAAAUGAUUUUAAAAUUCUUCCAUAUCAAAAGAUUUAUAAUUUUUUAAUAUUAAUUAUUAUUUCCUCAUUACCACAUAGGAAUUCCAGGUAUUAUCCUUGAGGCUGGAAUUGGAUUUCAUAAAAAAUUCAUAAGGGGGAAAAAACAAAAAUGAAAAAGCUUUAGUACUUUGUGUGUGUAACCCAUACACUGGCUUCUAGAGGCUGCAAAACAGUCCACAAUCACAGUAAGAGUUCUCGCUCUGAGGAUUAAUUCCAGAGCAGAACAAGAAAAAGAGGUUAUCUUUUCAUAGAAAAUCUAACAAUUUAAAAUUUACCCAGAUUCUGAAAUUACGAGAAAGAGAAAAUCUGAAAGCAAACAUGAAGAGAGGAGAAGAAUAGAAACAGACAUGAGAUGGUGAAGAAACAAAGAAGG